This 565-nucleotide ribosomal RNA is filed under the name Phlebia sp. RNAcentral's name for it is "partial small subunit ribosomal RNA". It matches the Rfam family "Bacterial small subunit ribosomal RNA", at positions 382 to 940 of the family's 1533-position model. The record is from RNAcentral. Lineage: Eukaryota; Fungi; Basidiomycota; Agaricomycetes; Polyporales; Meruliaceae.
CCCGAGGAGGUGACUAGCUACUGAAUAAACCUAGAAAAAUUUUUAGGAAUAAAGUAUGUGGAAAAAAAUGAUACUACCAUACUAUUUAGUGUUGUCAAAAGUUGGUGCCAGAAGACUCGGUAAGGCCAAAAACGCAAACGUUAAUCAUCUUAAACAGGCGUAAAGGGUUUGUAGGCAGCUGGAAAUAUUUUUAAUUUAUAAAGCGAGGUGUAAUUAAGUAGUUUAUAAGAAGGGCUAUACCUUAAUUUACAUUUUUUAAAAAUAGAGUAAAGAUAGAAUCAAGAAGAGGUUAAUAUUACUCUUAGUGUAGGGGUUCAAUCCGUAAAAACUAAGAAGAAUACUAAAGGCGAAGGCAAUUACCCAAUAAUGAUUGACGCUCAUAAACGAAGGUUAGGAGAGGAAAGUGGAUUAGAGGCCCGUGAACCCCUUACUGUAAACGAUGAAUGGUAGUAAUUAGUAAUUAGUACUAGUUACGAGGCUAACGUGUUAACCAUUCCGCCUUGUGAGUACGAUUGCAAAGUUGAAAACAAAAAAAUUAGUCGGUCUCGAAGCAUCCAAGGGUCCC